RNAcentral lists this non-coding RNA (24 nucleotides) under Arabidopsis thaliana (thale cress). Lineage: Eukaryota; Viridiplantae; Streptophyta; Magnoliopsida; Brassicales; Brassicaceae. The record is from RNAcentral.
GUAUCCUUGUUAUGCAACUCUGGC